RNAcentral lists this ribosomal RNA (672 nucleotides) under uncultured Thermomicrobia bacterium. Its description in RNAcentral is "bacterial SSU rRNA". It matches the Rfam family "Bacterial small subunit ribosomal RNA", at positions 8 to 698 of the family's 1533-position model. The record is from RNAcentral. Lineage: Bacteria; Pseudomonadati; Thermomicrobiota; Thermomicrobia.
AGAGUUUGAUCCUGGCUCAGGAUGAACGCUGGCGGCGUGCCUAACACAUGCAAGUCGAACGGGAACCUCUGGAUUCGUCUGGGGGGGAGAGUGGCGAACGGGUGAGUAACACGUAGGUGACCUGCCCUAAAGCGGGGAAUAACCACUGGAAACGGUGGCUAAUACCCCAUGUGCUCUUCGGUUCACUCCGUUGAGUAAAGCUCCGGCGCUUUGGGAGGGGCCUGCGGCCCAUCAGGUAGUUGGUAGGGUAACGGCCUACCAAGCCAAUGACGGGUAGGGGGCGUGAGAGCGUGAUCCCCCACACUGGCACCGAGACACGGGCCAGACUCCUACGGGAGGCAGCAGUGAGGAAUAUUGCCCAAUGGACGCAAGUCUGAGGCAGCAACGCCGCGUGAGCGAUGAAGGCCUUCGGGUUGUAAAGCUCUUUUCUGGGGGACGAGGAAGGACGGUACCUCAGGAAUAAGUCACGGCUAACUACGUGCCAGCAGCCGCGGUAAUACGUAGGUGGCGAGCGUUAUCCGGAUUUACUGGGCGUAAAGCGCGUGUAGGCGGUUCCGUAAGUCGGACGUGAAAGCUCCUGGCUUAACUAGGAGAGGCCGUUCGAUACUGCGGGACUUGAGGUCGGGAGAGGGACGUGGAAUUCCCGGUGUAGUGGUGGAAUGCGUAGAUAUC